RNAcentral lists this small nucleolar RNA (95 nucleotides) under Zostera marina. Lineage: Eukaryota; Viridiplantae; Streptophyta; Magnoliopsida; Alismatales; Zosteraceae. The record is from RNAcentral.
UUUGGGCGAAUGAGGAAUCUUUUUUUGAUCAAAUGGGUAAUUUGCAUCUGAUCUUUUUCUGUGAUGCUAUCAACCUUGGAGAGCUGACGUUCCAG